This is an RNA transcript of Trifolium pratense (red clover), 2109 nucleotides long. It is a transcript of the gene named casein kinase 1-like protein 3, with no coding region annotated. The record is from RefSeq and is a predicted model, not a curated record. The transcript has 18 exons. NCBI's taxonomy places the organism in Eukaryota, Viridiplantae, Streptophyta, Magnoliopsida, Fabales, Fabaceae.
AUGCUAACUAAAAAAACAAAAGAAAUGGAAGAAAAAAAAUGAAAAUAAAAAACUGAAACAGUAGAAGGAUAAAGAGGACAAAAGUAUAGCCCCGCGUGUUGAAUUCAUCGCGGUGGCUACUACUUUCAUUCAUUCAUUCAUAACGUAUUCUUCUUCUUCUUCUUCUUCUUCAGAUUCAUACUCUUUUCUUCUUCUUCUUCUUGCUAUCAUCAUCAUCAUCAUCUUCAGAUUCAGAAUAUUCUUUCAUGGAUCGCAUCAUCGGUGACAAGUUCAAAUUAGGUCGUAAGAUCGGAAGUGGAUCCUUCGGUGAAAUCUACCUCGCUACUCAUAUUGAUACUUUCGAGAUCGUUGCUGUUAAGAUCGAGACUGGUAAAACGAAGCAUCCACAAUUGCUUUAUGAAGCUAAGCUCUAUAAUAUUCUACAAGGAGGAAGUGGCAUCCCAAGCAUAAGAUGGAGUGGUGUAGAUGGGGAAGACAAUGUGCUUGUUAUGGAUUUGUUGGGGCCUAGUCUUGAGGAUCUUUUUGUAUACUGUGGAAGAAAGUUCUCACUCAAAACUGUCUUGAUGUUGGCUGAUCAAAUGAUGACCAGAAUAGAGUAUGUGCAUUCUAAAGGAUUCCUACAUAGGGAUAUAAAACCGGAUAACUUUCUCAUGGGACUUGGUCGGAAGGCAAACCUGGUCUAUGUAAUUGAUUUUGGGCUUGCAAAACGUUAUCGGGACUCCACAACCAAUCGCCACAUCCCCUACAGGGAGAACAAAAACUUAACAGGGACUGCACGAUAUGCAAGCUGCAAUACUCAUCUUGGGAUUGAGCAAAGCCGGCGGGAUGAUUUGGAGUCGUUGGGGUAUGUGCUUUUGUACUUCCUCAGAGGAAGCCUUCCUUGGCAAAACCUAAAGGCUGCGACGAAGAAGCAAAAAUAUGAUAAAAUAUGUGAAAAGAAAGUAUCAACUCCUAUUGAGGUUUUAUGCAAAUCUCACCCUGUAGAGUUUGCUUCAUACUUUCAUUACUGUCAUUCUUUGACCUUUGAUCAGCGACCUGAUUAUGGAUUCUUGAGGCGCUUAUUUCGAGAGUUAUUUGCUCGAGAAGGUUACAAAUUUGAUUAUGUAUUUGAUUGGACAAUUUUGAAGUACCAACAGUCACAAAAGAGUAGAGCCCAGCCUCACAUAUCCCCGAUUCCUGUAGCGACCAACAAUCGGGCAAUGGCCAUGGAUAUUGAUAACCAACAAGGGGAUGUCUCAGCAGAGCAAAUUAAAUCAGACAAUGCCACUACUUCUGGUGUUAAGUUUCAAUUUAAAUCAUCUGCGGGUAAAAAUUUGGCUUCUGAAAAUCCUCUUGGCAAGAAUAUUUUUGGUGAAACAACUAUCCCUUCUACCUCAUACUCUUUCGAAGCAUCAAGAAGGAACUCCUUGAAGCCUGCCCCGUCCACUGAAGCAGUGAACCAUAGACAUGGCCAAGGGAGCAGUAAAAUUGGUCCUUCAAGUAGUCGGAUGAAUGUUCUGCACAUAAGUUCUGCUAAAUGAAUGCCAAUAUGGUGUGAAUCUGAUCAAGAAGAUUCCCUGCAUACAAACAUGGAGCUGCAUAUUUAUGGGGUAUUGCUUGCAAGUGAACAGCCCAUGGAGACUACAAAUGUGCUACAAGAAUGUAUAACUAUGUCGAAUCAGAGGCAAAAGUUUCGGCAGAAUGGCUGCCGAAAUAAUGGUUUCUUCAGACAUCAAAGGUAGCUCGAAUUUGGCUGUCAGCCAGAUUAAUUUGUAUUGUCAUUUUUGGGAUGAAUUCAAUCUGGUUUUAUUUCAUUGCAGUCAAGGGUCCCUUUGUUUUACCUAUAUAUAUUGGCCAGAGGAUGGAAAUAUGCAGACAAUUGGCAUUUAUAUGGAUGCCAUCAACAGUUACUCUUUUUGCAGGAUUUCUUUUUUAUACCAUUAUUGGCUAAAGGAUGAAAUAUGCAGAAUAAAUGGCAUUUAUACGGAUGCCAUCAGCGGAAUCAUACCUCUGCAUACAGUUGAUUGUCAUGGCGAUGUGGGGACUGAAAGUGAAAAUUGCUUUUGAUACUAAUGCUGUUUAAUAUCUUUUGAUGAUAUAUAUCAUUGAUUACUAUGAUUUAAACCAACA